This 379-nucleotide ribosomal RNA is filed under the name uncultured cyanobacterium. RNAcentral describes it as "bacterial SSU rRNA". It matches the Rfam family "Bacterial small subunit ribosomal RNA", at positions 376 to 770 of the family's 1533-position model. Lineage: Bacteria; Bacillati; Cyanobacteriota. The record is from RNAcentral.
CGAAAGCCUGACGGAGCAAGACCGCGUGAGGGAGGAAGGCUCUUGGGUUGUAAACCUCUUUUCUCAGGGAAGAAGCUCUGACGGUACCUGAGGAAUCAGCCUCGGCUAACUCCGUGCCAGCAGCCGCGGUAAUACGGAGGAGGCAAGCGUUAUCCGGAAUUAUUGGGCGUAAAGCGUCCGCAGGUGGCAAUGUAAGUCUGCUGUCAAAACCCAGGGCUCAACUCUGGUCAGGCAGUGGAAACUACAUAGCUAGAGUGCCGUAGGGGUAGAGGGAAUUCCCGGUGUAGCGGUGAAAUGCGUAGAGAUCGGGAAGAACAUCGGUGGCGAAAGCGCUCUACUGGACGGCAACUGACACUCAGGGACGAAAGCUAGGGGAGCG